Molecule: non-coding RNA, 246 nt
Organism: Paramuricea clavata
Lineage: Eukaryota; Metazoa; Cnidaria; Anthozoa; Malacalcyonacea; Plexauridae
Source: the annotation of a GenBank genome assembly
CGAGUUUUUAAUGUUAAAAAAUGCAGAAAUGACCAAAUUAAUGCUAAUUAGUACCCAUUUUGCCAACUUUAACCAUCUUUAAUUCAAAAUCGGCUUGAAAAUCGCACUAGUCGCUUAAGUUAUCUUAUAUAUAGUUUUUUACGCUCUUUCUAGUGGUAUAGUUUAUUUUUCGUAUAAGAGAACACGAAAUUUUACAUUUUUUCCGAUCAUAGUAAUUUAAUAGGCAAAAUUUAAAAAUUCUCAAAU